AUGUAGAGCAGUGGACAGCUUAAUUGGCUCAUAACCAAAAGGUCGCGGGUUCGAAUCCCGCCAUCGCAACCAAAAUA
This 77-nucleotide transfer RNA is filed under the name Alishewanella phage vB_AspM_Slickus01. Its description in RNAcentral is "tRNA-Lys". The stretch from base 1 to 69 matches the Rfam family "tRNA". From Rfam's summary of the family: Transfer RNA (tRNA) molecules are approximately 80 nucleotides in length. Their secondary structure includes four short double-helical elements and three loops (D, anti-codon, and T loops). Lineage: Duplodnaviria; Heunggongvirae; Uroviricota; Caudoviricetes. The record is from RNAcentral.